GACGAACGCUGGCGGCGUGCCUAAUACAUGCAAGUAGAACGCUGAAGAGAGGAGCUUGCUCUUCUUGGAUGAGUUGCGAACGGGUGAGUAACGCGUAGGUAACCUGCCUUGUAGCGGGGGAUAACUAUUGGAAACGAUAGCUAAUACCGCAUAACAAUGGAUGACACAUGUCAUUUAUUUGAAAGGGGCAAUUGCUCCACUACAAGAUGGACCUGCGUUGUAUUAGCUAGUAGGUGAGGUAACGGCUCACCUAGGCGACGAUACAUAGCCGACCUGAGAGGGUGAUCGGCCACACUGGGACUGAGACACGGCCCAGACUCCUACGGGAGGCAGCAGGAGGGAAUCUUCGGCAAUGGGGGCAACCCUGACCGAGCAACGCCGCGGGAGGGAAGAAGGGUUUCGGAUCGGAAAGCUCUGUUGUAAGUCAAGAACGAGUGUGAGAGUGGAAAGUUCACACUGUGACGGUAGCUUACCAGAAAGGGACGGCUAACUACGUG
RNAcentral lists this ribosomal RNA (497 nucleotides) under uncultured bacterium. RNAcentral describes it as "partial 16S ribosomal RNA". It matches the Rfam family "Bacterial small subunit ribosomal RNA", at positions 28 to 507 of the family's 1533-position model. The record is from RNAcentral.